AGGAGUAAGAAGAAAAAAUUGAAGAUUCCAGAAGAGAAUGAGAAGUUGAGAAGUGCAACGGACCACUUCACUUCACACUCCUUCCAGACUGUCUCUCUGGAGAUCAACUCUGUUCCUGAACCCCUGGAUACCUCUCAAUCAACUCCAAAUCACUAUAAUCAAAAAUCAUCAGGGGACACUGUGGACUGGAACAUUGAAGGAAGCUGUCCACAGAGAUCCCUUUCAAGGAUCUCUCUCCCUUUUUGUUCCUGGACUCCUGUAUUCAAAGCCAGUUAGCUUAGGAGUAGGGAUCAACUUGCAGCAGGCAAGAAGAGGGAUCAAGGCUGGGAAAGCCUUGAACCCCUAAACUUUGGAAGGUCAAUUUGUGAGAGGGGACAAGUGUAGGGCCUCCUGUAACCCCCAUUUCCCCUACUUGAUACUUCUUACCACUAAUUUAUCUGUUAUUCUAGAUUUAGGUCUGGGUCAGUUUCAAGCAAUAAUAAAGGGGGAUGAAGAUUUGGGGAGGUCCAAAAGGGAGGUUAACCUCUGGAUCCCAGUGAUCCAAAUUGCCAGACCCAAGGAAUAGACAUCUCUCCUUGGCUGUGGAGUAGCCCCAAGGUCCUGAAGGAAACUGGAAGUUAGUGUGCCUGAGGAAACCAGAGGCAGAAGAAUUCAUUGUGCCUCUCAAAAGGGGGGCAUUGUGUCCUCUUACAAUCUCUUCACCCUCUCAACCCCUUUCCCUCUCUCCCUCCAUUUUCCUUAUUCCCCUGUGCCCCUACUGUGUGAAUGUAAUAACAUGUCAAAUGCUCUGCCCACCUUAAAGUCUCUAUAAAUGCUAGAUUUUAUCUGGAGACAUAAGGAACCUCUGAAGGUUUUUGGGAAAUGGGGAAUGCUGUCUUCAGACCUAUGCUUUAAGAAAAUGACUUCAGCAGCUGGAUGGAGGCCAGAUCAAAGAGGAGAAGAAUGAAACCUAGAAGGCUACUGCAGUAAUAUAGGACCCCCUUCUGUGUCUUUCUAGAACUAUUUUGCAGAGCUGCAUUCAGCAAGGGCUAUGUAUUCAAGCAAGAUGCCAAGAGCACAAGGUUGAGCUCCUGCCAGAAGUCUCUUAACUAGACUUAAGGAACAGGUUCCAGCUGCUCUGAGCCAAAGAGCAGUUCAAAAAAGUCUGUCUAAUAUUAGAUUCUGAAAGCAAAGAAAUAUGAUUUGGGACUCUUCCAACGAAUGACAGAGGAAACAUGAUACAGUGGAAAGAGCAUGAACCCUGAAAUCAGAAGACCAGGGCUGAAAUCCCUCCUAGGACAUUUACCACCACAUAAACUCUCUGUGACUCAGUUUCCCGCUCUGGAAGAUGAGGGAUUUGGAUGAGUGUCCUCUGAGCUGAAUGAAUAUAGGUCCUCGAUCACACUAAAAUUUGUUAUACUUUGAAGUCUGGAAAUACAAUUAUAUUGGGACAUGCUUGACCUAAGUAUUAAUUUACUCUAGAUCAUUGAUUUAGAGGAGGAAGAGACCUUUGAACUUAUCUACUUUACAUAUGGGAAAACCAAAUCUGAAAGAAGUGAAGUGACUAGCAAAGGAGUGACAACUUGCAAGGGUCUGAGGCAAGAUUCAAACCUAGGUCUUCUUGAUUCCAAGACCUCUACAGGAUACAAAACUGCCUUUUUUUAAUUUGUUGAGUCAGAGUUUCUGAAAAAAGGAUUUUUCUUUAUCCUAGUAUAGGUCAGCUGGGCAUCCUGAAUACUAGUUUACAAUUAAGGAUGAUCUAUAAGUAUAUGAUAAGUGUCUAAAAAUAACCCCUGACAUUAAUCAAAGCUGUUGGACAAUAAAGUACCUACCAAUCGAUUUGUGGUGGCCUAGGCCCGAUCCUGUCUGGCCAGAGAAGCAUGGCUUAGAUUUCAAUGCCAAUACCACAAGAGCUGCUUAUUGAGCUAAAUUGGUUUUAGAGCUCUUUUUUCUAAGCUAUUGAGUCACAGAAUCAUAAAUCUAGAAGGAGUUUUAGAUCUCAUAAACUCCAGCCCUCUCAUUUAACAGUAAAAAAAAAAAAGCAAAACCCAAAGAAUUUAGGAAAUUUGCCCAAAAUGUCAUUUAUAUUUCAACCAAUUCAGUUGCUUCCCACUUUGUACAAAGUCACAAUCUCUCAAAUAUUCCAUUUCUUCACUUAUAAAAUGAUGGUGCUGAUUAGAAUAUAUCUAAGGUCCUUUAAAGUUCAAAACUAUGGACUUUAGCAUGCCAUUCCCUGCUAUUCUCCACUAUCUCCUAAAGUCUGACUAGAGAAAAUGAGUAUUGAACUAUAUUAUUAAUUAAUACCAUUUCUAGACAAAAUCAUUUCCCCCUUAACCUCUCAGACUGAACAGCCUGCUUCCAACCUGAAGAUAAUUCCAGCCCCUAAGAUAUCAAACUGGACUGAGUCUUUUGAUAAGAUCUUGGAAGGAUUAAAGGCAGGACUGGUCAGCUAUGAUGAACUCUGACCUAUUUGAAAGUAAGGUGGGUCAGCCAUGUUUUCCUUAUUUAGGCAAAGACCUACCUCCUCUGUGAUGAAAUAAUGAGGAAGGAGCUGAGGUCUCUAUGUCCACCUCCUUAUUAACUAUUCACCAAUUAGAGAUGUCUUGGAAUGUACAAGGGAGAAACUGAAUAAUGAGUGUCCAAAUUACAUCUAGAGAGCUUUGUGAAGGAACUUCCUGGUCUUUGAUCAUUGAGAUAAUCACUAAUCUAUUAAUUUAUUGGUUAUAUGCUAGCCUAAUCAAUAAAUCCAUAUUCUUACCCCAAAACAAGUCUCUUGAAUUGUUUAGUCUUCACAUAUCCAAGGACAUGUUUGUGGCUCCUGUAACACAUCACAUACUUUGUCCUCAUCUUCUCCUUUUGCUUUUAAUAUUUACCAACAUCAAGGUCUUUUCAUAUGAGUCCUAUCUUCUCUUUAUGUCCCAAAGUAUUUAAGCGUCAGCUUCAGUAUUUGACUUCUAGUGAAGAGUCUGAAUUAAUUGGCUUUUUUAAAAGUAUUGACUGAUUUGAUCUCCUUGCUGUUCAAGGGACACUCAAAAGUCUUCUCUAGCACCACAAUCUGACAGAGUCAAUUCUGCCGCAUUCAGUUUUCCUUGUAGUCCUACUCACACAGCCAUACAUUACAAUUGGAAAAUCCGUAGCCUUGGCUAUAUGGAUCAUGAUCAACAGGGUGAUGUCUCGACUUUUUAGUAUGCUCUCCAGAACUACCAUAACUUUCCUUCCAUGGAGCAAGUAUCUUUUAACUGACUGAAGUUGGUAUCUGCAGUCAUCUUUGAGCCCCAAAAUAUAAAAUCUAACACAACUUCUAUUUCUUCUCCCUCUAUUUGCCAGGAAAGGAUGGGACCAGAUGCCAUGAUCUUAGCUUUUUAAACUAAGCUUCAAAUCAACUUUUAUACAUUAUCUUGAUCACUGUAUAUAGUACAGAGAUUCCCUGUUCUAAGCACUAGGAAAAACUCAAAAGUUAAAUAAGAGAUAGCCCCUGAAUUCAUUGGGGCUCCCAAUCUAAUAAGGGAUUAGCAUAGACUAAAGAUUUCCAUGAGAUCCAUUGGGUAGUUUGGGGAAUUUACAACCAACACUACUAAUGUGGUUCUAGAAUCAUAGAUCGAGCUAGAAGGGACCUCAAAAACCCCUUAGCCCAAUGCACUCAUUUUAUAGAUGAGGAAAUUGAGGUCCUAGGAUAUUAAGUGACUCACUCAAGAUUGGUAAGCAUCAGAGGCAGGAUGUGAACACCCCUGACACCUGAUGAUUCUUUCUAUCAUAUCACACUAAUUCCUACACGGAGACUCACGAUUUUAAAAUUUUGAUCAUAUUAUUGAGAAGCAUUAAGGAACAGAAGGGCAAAAAAAAAAAGCACACUUUCCCUGACAUAAAGGAAAAGGUCAAGAAAAAGAGUUGAUGAACUUUCUAUCUAAUUAGAAAAAUAGUAAAAAAACCAAACAAACAAUCUUUCUAAUUUAUUUUGCAUACAGUAUGGGUACAUUAAUAGUUAUCUACAUAUUGUUGUAGUUACUAUGUACAAUGUUCUCCUGGUUCUGCUAACUUCAUUUUGUAUCAUUUCAAAUAAGUCUUUCUAGAUUUUGUUUAUGAUCGUCUUGUUUGCCAUUUCUUAUGGCACAGCAGCGUUCCAUUACAAGCAUAUACCACAACUUGUUCAGCCGUUCUUCAAUUGAUGGACAUCCCUCCAGUUGCUAGUUGUCACCACAAAAAAGAGCUGCUACAAAUAUUUUAGAAUAUAUAAUUUCUUUUCCUUUUCCCUUAAUUGCCUUAGAAAACAAACAUAAUAGUGUUAUAUAUAUAACUCAAAAGUUAUGCAAUUUUAUAACUCUUUGAGCAUAAUUCCAGAUUGCUCUCCAAAAUGACUGUAUCAGUUCAUAGUUCCACCAACAAUGUAUUAGUGUCCCCAUUUUUCCACAUCCCCUCCAACAUCUGUCAUUUUGCCUUUUUAUCAUUUUUGCUAAUCUGAUAGAUGUGAGAUGAUAUUCUUUAUUUUAUUUCCUUCAUGAAUUUUUGUCUAAUGUAAAUAAUAUUUGUCUUGUUUCACAAUAUUACAUACAGGAAAAUAUGUAUUAUAUGAUAAUAUAUGUACAACCUAUAUGCAAACCUGACUUCUUGGGAAGGAGGAAGGGUUGAAAAGAAAGGGAAAUUUUUAAAAAUUUAUUAGUUUCUUGUUGAAUAGAUGAGUAUUUAAUAUAAAUCUAAAAUUUAUUUAGAAUAUUUUCCAUAGUUACAUGGUUCAUAAUUCCUCCACAUUCCCUCCCCGCUCUGGGAGAUGACAAGCAGUUCUACUGGGUUAUACACAUAUCAUUGUUCAAAACCUAUUUCCAUGUUAUUCAUAUUUGCGGUAGAGUGAUCCUUUAACAUCAAAACCCUAAUCAUAUCCCUAUCAAACUAUGUGUUCCCAUCAUAUGAUUUUCUUCUGCAUUUCUGUUCCCACAGUUCUUUCUCUAGAUGUGGAUAGCAUUCUUCUAAGUUCUUCUGGAUUGUCCUGGGUCAUUGCAUUGCUGCUAGUAGAAAAGUCUAUUACAUUCAAUUGUGCCAUAAUGUAUCAGUCUCUGUAUACAAUGUUCUCCUGGUUCUGCUCCUUUUGCUCUGCAUCAAUUUCUGGAGGUCUUUCCAGUUUACAUGGAAUUCCUCCAGUUCAUUAUUCCUUUCUACACAAUAAUAUUCCAUCACCAUCAGAUACCACAAUUUGUUCAGCCAUUCCCAAAUCGAUGGAUACCCUCUCAUUUUUCAACUUUCUGCCACCACAAAGAGUGUGGCUAUAAAUAUUUUUGUACAAGUCUUUUUCCUUAUUAUCUCUUUGGAGUACAAACCCAGCAAUGGUAUGGCUGUGACAGAGGCUGGCACUAGGGGAAAGGUGCCAGGCUGAAGAGUGUGUGGAUCUGAUCUCCUCAUCAGGGGAGGGACCCUAGGAGAUUGGCAUCUUGAGGAAGAAAAAGUUCCCUUCUGAAGAGCAGUUGGUUUCUCAAUUUGGAGAAGCUGGAGAGAGAAGAUUAAACAAGACUUUCUCCUAAGGGUUACCCACUUUUUCCUGCUUGUGACUGAAAAUCCUUACCCCCCCCCCCCAACACUUCCCAAUUGAAGAGACUCAGUGAAGAGAAACCUGAGAAAAGGCAUUUUGAAUCUCUGUCAGACUUUACCUCAGCUCCUGUUGCCAAGGGGCCAAACCCAGGGUCAGUCAACCUGACUUUCUCUCAGGGGGCUUAGGCUGCCAAGGCCUGAAUUCCCUCCAAACUGGAGGAGAGAGGGAAAGGGUUUUAGCUAGAGAAAGGGACUCCUUUCCCCCACUAUCCUCUCACAUUCUUUCUCUGCCAGUUAUUCCUUUGUAUUACCCUGAUUGAGUUAAUUGACAUUAAAGUAGUUAUCUUUUCCCCAAGCUGUGAAUCAAGUGUGAAUGAACAGAUCAAAGGGAGAGACAUGUUCCUAAAAAGAAACCCUUUGGUCUCUAGUAGUGGGGGUGGGGGGAGAGGGACAAGAGCAAAUCUGGGAGAGCAGCCAUAGCUAAGGAGGGAAGGCAGAAAGGGGAAAAUCUUCAAACCCCCUCUCUUCUCUCUGAGCCAACCCUACAUACACAUCAGCUAUCCUCUCCUAGAUCCUGUUCCCUUUGCCAUCCCCAAACUUUUUCUCCAUUACAGGCUGGGUCAAAGGGUAGGCAAUAUUUUAAAGCCCUUUGUGCAUAAUUCCAAAUUGCCCUCCAGAAUGGUUAGAUCAAUUCACAACUCCACCAGCAAUGCAUUAGUGUCCCAAUUUUGCCACACCCCCUUCAACAUUUAUCACUUUCCUUUGCUGCCAUAUUGGCCAGUCUAAUAGGUGUAAGGUGGUGCCUCAGCGUUAUUUUAAUUUGCAUUUCUCUAAUCAGGAGGGAUGUAGAACACUGUUUCAUGUGCUUAUUGAUAGUUUUGAUCUCAUUGUGUGAAAACUGCUUAUUCAUGUCCCUUGACCAUUUGUUGAUAGGAGAAUGGCUUGAUUUUUUGGUAGAAUUGACUUAGUUCCUUAUAUAUUUGGGAGAUUAAACCUUUGUCAGAGAGUUUUAUUAUAAAAAUGUUCUCCUACUUUGUUGCUUUCCUUCUAAUUUUGGUUGCAUUGGUUUUGUUUGUAUAAAAACUUUUUAAUAUUUGAUGUAAUCAAAGUCAUUCAUUUUACAUUUUGUAAUGUUCUCUAUCUCUUGCUUGGUCUUAAAUUCCUUCUUUUCCCACAGAUCUGACAAAUAUACUAUUCUAUGUUCACCUAAUUUAUUCAUGAUUUUAUUCUUUAUAUUUAAGUCCUUUACCCAUUUUGAAUUUACCUUGGCAUAGGAUGUAAGAUGUUGAUCUAAACCUAAUUUUUCCCAUACUGUUUCCCAAUUUUCCCAGCAGUUUUUGUCAAAUGGUGAGUUUUUGUCCCAAAAGCUGGGGUUUUAGGGUUUAUCAAACACUAGCUUGCUGAGGUAAUUUACCCCUAGUUCAUUUCAUUGAUCCACCCUUCUGUCUCUU
Monodelphis domestica (gray short-tailed opossum) is the source of this 6947-nucleotide long non-coding RNA. RefSeq lists it as uncharacterized. The record is from RefSeq and is a predicted model, not a curated record. Lineage: Eukaryota; Metazoa; Chordata; Mammalia; Didelphimorphia; Didelphidae.